This 689-nucleotide ribosomal RNA is filed under the name Arthrobacter sp. Its description in RNAcentral is "bacterial SSU rRNA". It matches the Rfam family "Bacterial small subunit ribosomal RNA", at positions 332 to 1022 of the family's 1533-position model. Lineage: Bacteria; Bacillati; Actinomycetota; Actinomycetes; Micrococcales; Micrococcaceae. The record is from RNAcentral.
GUUACUCCUUACGGGAGGCAGCAGUGGGGAAUAUUGCACAAUGGGCGAAAGCCUGAUGCAGCGACGCCGCGUGAGGGAUGACGGCCUUCGGGUUGUAAACCUCUUUCAGUAGGGAAGAAGCCCUCUUUGGGGGUGACGGUACUUGCAGAAGAAGCGCCGGCUAACUACGUGCCAGCAGCCGCGGUAAUACGUAGGGCGCAAGCGUUAUCCGGAAUUAUUGGGCGUAAAGAGCUCGUAGGCGGUUUGUCGCGUCUGCUGUGAAAGACCGGGGCUCAACUCCGGUUCUGCAGUGGGUACGGGCAGACUAGAGUGCAGUAGGGGAGACUGGAAUUCCUGGUGUAGCGGUGAAAUGCGCAGAUAUCAGGAGGAACACCGAUGGCGAAGGCAGGUCUCUGGGCUGUAACUGACGCUGAGGAGCGAAAGCAUGGGGAGCGAACAGGAUUAGAUACCCUGGUAGUCCAUGCCGUAAACGUUGGGCACUAGGUGUGGGGGACAUUCCACGUUUUCCGCGCCGUAGCUAACGCAUUAAGUGCCCCGCCUGGGGAGUACGGCCGCAAGGCUAAAACUCAAAGGAAUUGACGGGGGCCCGCACAAGCGGCGGAGCAUGCGGAUUAAUUCGAUGCAACGCGAAGAACCUUACCAAGGCUUGACAUGGACCGGAAAGACCUGAAACCAGGGCCCCCGCUGGC